AGUAUGAAGAGCUUCAAGGCGAUGGGCGGCUCCGGGAGCUUUGUGGUCCUGCGUCUCCGAAUCCUUCAAGGCAGCUGACCUCGAUGUUUUUGUGCUCUCUCUGUGUCCCAGAGGGU
Non-coding RNA from Caenorhabditis elegans, 116 nucleotides. The record is from Ensembl. NCBI's taxonomy places the organism in Eukaryota, Metazoa, Nematoda, Chromadorea, Rhabditida, Rhabditidae.